Molecule: ribosomal RNA, 496 nt
Filed under: uncultured bacterium
Lineage: Bacteria
Description: partial 16S ribosomal RNA
Rfam family: Bacterial small subunit ribosomal RNA
Source: RNAcentral
GAUGAACGCUGGCGGCGUGCCUAAUACAUGCCAGUCGAGCGAACGGACGAGAAGCUUGCUUCUCUGAUGUUAGCGGCGGACGGGUGAGUAACACGUGGAUAACCUACCUAUAAGACUGGGAUAACUUCGGGAAACCGGAGCUAAUACCGGAUAAUAUUUUGAACCGCAUGGUUCAAAAGUGAAAGACGGUCUUGCUGUCACUUAUAGAUGGAUCCGCGCUGCAUUAGCUAGUUGGUAAGGUAACGGCUUACCAAGGCAACGAUGCAUAGCCGACCUGAGAGGGUGAUCGGCCACACUGGAACUGAGACACGGUCCAGACUCCUACGGGAGGCAGCAGUAGGGAAUCUUCCGCAAUGGGCGAAAGCCUGACGGAGCAACGCCGCGGGAGUGAUGAAGGUCUUCGGAUCGUAAAACUCUGUUAUUAGGGAAGAACAUAUGUGUAAGUAACUGUGCACAUCUUGACGGUACCUAAUCAGAAAGCCACGGCUAACUACGU